Molecule: long non-coding RNA, 1107 nt
Organism: Homo sapiens (human)
Lineage: Eukaryota; Metazoa; Chordata; Mammalia; Primates; Hominidae
Exons: 2
Source: RefSeq, a predicted model, not a curated record
CCGGGUUGCACCCUCUGCCUGCAGAGGGAGUGAUGCAGGGCUUCACUGAAGAGCUUAGGCUGGAGUCCAGCUGCCCUGUUAACCUAAAGAACGCCCGUCGACCUGGACACUUACCAACCCAGUAAGAGGGACGGCGUGCAUAUCCCGCAAGUGGACUGAUAAAACCCAUCGUGCCGCAGGUGAAAGCCCGUCACCAAACCCUAACAGUCAACGCCUCCACAGCCGAGUGGUGGCCAAGGUUACCCCCCGGAGCCUGGUCUCCCUCUAACUUCAGCUACCUCAAUUGUGUCUUGUCAAAAAAGGCCUGGAACUGUACAAACACCACUAACUCUUCUGCCACAUACGCCUGCCUAAGUGCACUAUGCGACAAUCCUAGGAACACCAGCUGACGACGGACUGCCCCGAUGGAUUCCUUUGGAUAUGGGGAACCCAGGCUUGCUCACGGCUACCUUAGCACUAGCUUCCUACGCACAAUUCAACCUGGAUUCAUCUUACUUCCAAAGCAGGCGGGCAACACCCUCGGAGUCCCUGCGUAUGAUAACCAGAGAAAAACGGUCCUUAAAGGCAGGAGGAAGCCAAAGACCGUGAGAGGACGAGUGGCCUCCGCAAUGGAUCAUCGAAUAUUACGGUCCUGCCACCUGGGCUGAGGAUGGUUCACGGGGUUAUCGCACUCCCACAUAUAUCCUAAAUAGAAUAAUUAGACUACAGGCUGCUCUAGAGAUAAUCACUAACCAAACCGCCUCAGCCCUGGAAAUGCUCGUGUGACAACAAAACCAAACGCACCCAGCAAUUUAUCAAAACAGGCUGGCUCUAGACUACUUAUUAACAGAAGAGGGUGCGGUCUGUGCUAAGUUUAACAUGUCCAAUUGCUGUCUUAACAUAGAUGAUAAUGGAAAAGCGGUUCUAGAAAUCGCUUCAAACAUCAGAAAAGUAGCCCGUGUACCAGUCCAAACCUGGAAGGGAUGGGACCCAACAAACCUUCUAGGAGGGUGGUUCUCUAAUUUAGGGGGAUUUAAAACGCUGGUAGGGACAGUAAUCUUCAUCAUUGGGGUCCUCCUGUUUCUCCCCUGUGGUAUCCCACUGAUAAUAAAAGCCAUUAAAACUCUU